GGAGGAUUAGCUCAGCUGGGGAGAGCACCUGCCUUACAAGCAGGGGGUCGGCGGUUCGAUCCCGUCAUCCUCCACCA
This 77-nucleotide transfer RNA is filed under the name Bacillus cereus. RNAcentral describes it as "tRNA-Val". It matches the Rfam family "tRNA". From Rfam's summary of the family: Transfer RNA (tRNA) molecules are approximately 80 nucleotides in length. The record is from RNAcentral. RNAcentral also lists the same sequence under 2 other names. Lineage: Bacteria; Bacillati; Bacillota; Bacilli; Caryophanales; Bacillaceae.